GAUAGGCUCUCCAAGGAGAUUUUGGCAGGGGUGAAAUGACUGGCAUUUUGACCUGAGCGAAAUUUCUGAAUUUCCGAGCUGUGAUAGACACUGGAGCUUCUGGCUCUUGGGACUCUAGCAGAACCCCACCUGCUCACCCGCAGGCCUCAGGCCUUCAGAUUAGGACUGAAUUCCACCACUGGCUUUCCGGGUUCUCCAGCUUGCAGAUGGCAGAUGAUGAGACUUCUCAGCCUCCAUAAUCAUGUGAGCCAAUUCCCAUAAUAAAUCUCUCUCUCUCUAUCUCUGUCUUACUCUCUCUUGAUUCUGUUUCUCUGAAGAACCCUAACUAAUACAGAUACCUUCAUUUUACAAAUGAAUAAAGUGCAGUGCCAGAGAAGUUCUGUGAAUUGUCUAGGGUCAUACACUCCUUCAUUUAUUUAAUUGUGCAUUAAGUCAACUAGUAUUCUAGGUACCAAGGAAGUCAACAUACUAGACCACAUUGCCUGUCUUCAAGAAAGUUAUGUUUUGGUUAG
RNAcentral lists this long non-coding RNA (512 nucleotides) under Homo sapiens (human). Its description in RNAcentral is "HSALNT0348665". The record is from RNAcentral. Lineage: Eukaryota; Metazoa; Chordata; Mammalia; Primates; Hominidae.